This 455-nucleotide ribosomal RNA is filed under the name uncultured bacterium. RNAcentral describes it as "bacterial SSU rRNA". It matches the Rfam family "Bacterial small subunit ribosomal RNA", at positions 346 to 793 of the family's 1533-position model. The record is from RNAcentral.
AGGCAGCAGUGGGGAAUUUUGGACAAUGGGCGCAAGCCUGAUCCAGCCAUGCCGCGUGCGGGAAGAAGGCCUUCGGGUUGUAAACCGCUUUUGUCAGGGAAGAAAAGCUCCGGGCUAAUACCUNGGAGUCAUGACGGUACCUGAAGAAUAAGCACCGGCUAACUACGUGCCAGUAGCCGCGGUAAUACGUAGGGUGCAAGCGUUAAUCGGAAUUACUGGGCGUAAAGCGUGCGCAGGCGGCUUUGCAAGACAGAUGUGAAAUCCCCGGGCUUAACCUGGGAACUGCAUUUGUGACUGCAUGGCUGGAGUGCGGCAGAGGGGGAUGGAAUUCCGCGUGUAGCAGUGAAAUGCGUAGAUAUGCGGAGGAACACCGAUGGCGAAGGCAAUCCCCUGGGCCUGCACUGACGCUCAUGCACGAAAGCGUGGGGAGCAAACAGGAUUAGAUACCCUGGUAG